Molecule: ribosomal RNA, 418 nt
Filed under: uncultured bacterium
Lineage: Bacteria
Description: bacterial SSU rRNA
Rfam family: Bacterial small subunit ribosomal RNA
Source: RNAcentral
UGGGGAAUAUUGGGCAAUGGGCGAAAGCCUUACCCAGCAACGCCGCGUGAGGGAAGAAGGUUUUCGGAUUGUAAACCUCUGUCCUGGGGGACGAAGGAAGUGACGGUACCCCGGGAGGAAGCCCCGGCUAACUACGUGCCAGCAGCCGCGGUAAUACGUAGGGGGCGAGCGUUGUCCGGAAUUAUUGGGCGUAAAGGGCGCGUAGACGGCCGAGUAAGUUAUAGGUGAAAGCCCAUCUUUCAAGGAUGGAAUUGCCUGUAAUACUGCCUGGCUUGAGUGCAGGAGAGGGAAGCGGAAUUCCUAGUGUAGCGGUGAAAUGCGUAGAUAUUAGGAGGAACACCAGUGGCGAAGGCGGCUUUCUGGACUGUAACUGACGUUGAGGCACGAAAGUGUGGGGAGGCAAACAGGAUUAGAUACC